Molecule: ribosomal RNA, 253 nt
Filed under: uncultured bacterium
Lineage: Bacteria
Description: partial 16S ribosomal RNA
Rfam family: Bacterial small subunit ribosomal RNA
Source: RNAcentral
UACGUAGGGACCGAGCGUUGUCCGGAAUCAUUGGGCGUAAAGAGCGUGUAGGCGGCCACUUAAGUCCUGCGUGAAAUCUUGCGGCUCAACCGCAAGCGGUCGUGGGAAACUGGGUGGCUAGAGUGCGGGAGAGGAGAGUGGAAUUCCUGGUGUAGCGGUGGAAUGCGCAGAUAUCAGGAAGAACACCCGUGGCGAAGGCGGCUCUCUGGAACGCAACUGACGCUGAGACGCGAAAGCGUGGGGGGCAAACAGG